GUGCUUGCAUGUAAAUUAAAGAUUUUUAUUACAUAGGCCAUUAAUGACUUGUGGCUUAGUUGACACUCUGGUAGAGCCACUAGGCUUUGAUGGAAGACAAAUUCAGAAGACAAGAGCCCCAAACUGAACAAAAAGGUAAAGCUACAGGACACUCUUGGAACAAAGAAAGAAAAAUUAAAAUGAGGCAGAAAUAUAUAUUAAACCUGCCAGAAAAAAAAUCCAAAAUAAAAAAAUAAAAAAGGUGGAAAUCUAUAUACAGAUUCAGAAAGGAGGUAAAAAAAG
This 282-nucleotide long non-coding RNA is filed under the name Oryza brachyantha (malo sina). RNAcentral describes it as "long non-coding RNA (OBRA_LNC000410)". The record is from RNAcentral. Lineage: Eukaryota; Viridiplantae; Streptophyta; Magnoliopsida; Poales; Poaceae.